Molecule: ribosomal RNA, 270 nt
Filed under: uncultured bacterium
Lineage: Bacteria
Description: partial 16S ribosomal RNA
Rfam family: Bacterial small subunit ribosomal RNA
Source: RNAcentral
CCUACGGGAGGCAGCAGUGGGAAUAUUGGGCAAUGGAGGGAAACUCUGACCCAGCGACGCCGCGUGCGGGAUGAAGGCCUUCGGGUUGUAAACCGCUUUCAGCAGGGAAGAAGCGAAAGUGACGGUACCUGCAGAAGAAGCACCGGCUAACUAUGUGCCAGCAGCCGCGGUAAUACAUAGGGUGCAAGCGUUGUCCGGAAUUAUUGGGCGUAAAGAGCUCGUAGGUGGUUCGUCACGUCGGAUGUGAAAAUCUGGGGCUUAACCCACACG